UAUGGAAUCUUCCGCAAUGGGCGAAAGCCUGACGGAGCAACGCCGCGUGAGUGAUGAAGGUCUUCGGAUCGUAAAACUCUGUUAUUAGGGAAGAACAAAUGUGUAAGUAACUAUGCACGUCUUGACGGUACCUAAUCAGAAAGCCACGGCUAACUACGUGCCAGCAGCCGCGGUAAUACGUAGGUGGCAAGCUUUAUCCGGAAUUAUUGGGCGUAAAGCGCGCGUAGGCGGUUUUUUAAGUCUGAUGUGAAAGCCCACGGCUCAACCGUGGAGGGUCAUUGGAAAAUGGAAAACUUGAGUGCAGAAGAGGAAAGUGGAAUUCCAUGUGUAGCGGUGAAAUGCGCAGAGAUAUGGAGGAACAACAGUGGUGAAGGCGACUUUCUGGUCUGUAACUGACGAUGAUGUGCGAAAGCGUGGGGAUCAAACAGG
This 429-nucleotide ribosomal RNA is filed under the name Actinomycetes bacterium. RNAcentral's name for it is "Actinobacteria bacterium partial 16S ribosomal RNA". It matches the Rfam family "Bacterial small subunit ribosomal RNA", at positions 355 to 776 of the family's 1533-position model. The record is from RNAcentral. Lineage: Bacteria; Bacillati; Actinomycetota; Actinomycetes.